Molecule: long non-coding RNA, 998 nt
Organism: Oncorhynchus keta (chum salmon)
Lineage: Eukaryota; Metazoa; Chordata; Actinopteri; Salmoniformes; Salmonidae
Exons: 2
Source: RefSeq, a predicted model, not a curated record
AGUAAACUUGCUGGCUACUUCAGUGGGUGUUAAACACAUUUCUAUCAGCAAAUGAACACAUUUAUAGCAGCAAAUAUGUUGAAUUAUAGCCAUGGUAUAAAAGGGAUCGUCAACUCGGGGCGCUAUACAUUCUCUGGGAAAUAAUGCAGCUCCAUACAAGGCUUGUCACCUAAAACCCUGACAAACUUUUACAGAUUCGCAAUUGAGAGCAUCCUGUUAGGCUGUAUCACUGCCUGGUACGGCAACUACACCGCCCUCAACCGCAAGGUUCUGCAUCCAGAGAGUGGUGCGGUCUGCACAACACAUCACUGGGGGCAAACUACCUGUCGGUGUCCUGCGCUCUAGGACACCAACAGCACCGGAUGUCACAGGAUGGCCAAAAACAUCAUCAAGGACUACAACCACCCAAGCCACUGCCUGUUCACCCUGCUACCAUCCAGAAGGCGAGGUCAGUACAGGUGCAUCAAAGCUGGGACCGAGAGACUGAAAAACAGCUUCUAUCUCAAGGCCAUCAGACCGCUAAACAGCAAUCACUAACUCAGAGAGGCUGCUGCCAACAUAGAGACUCAAAUCAUUGGCCACUUUAAUAAAUGGAUCACUAGUCACUUUAAACAAUCCCACUUUACUAAUGUUUACAUAUCUUACAUUACUCAUCUCAUAUGUAUAUACUGUAUCUUAUACCAUCUAUUGCAUCUUGCCUAUGCCGCUUUGCCAUCGCUCAUCCAUAUAUUCAUAUGUACAUAUUCUUAUAGUUGUAAAUUAGAACUUGUUCUCAACUAGCCUACCUGGUUAAAUAAAGGUGAAAUAAAUAAAUAAAUUCAAUCCCUUUAGAUGUGUGUGUACACGGUAGUGGUUGUGGAAUUGUUAGAUUACUUGUUAGAUAUUGCUGCACUGUCGGAACUAGAAGCACAAGAAUUUCCCUACACUCACAUUAACAUCUGCUAACCAUGUGUAUGUGACCAAUAAAAUGUGAUUUGAUUAUCACCACUACCUCCCAA